UACGUAGGGUGCGAGCGUUGUCCGGAAUUACUGGGCGUAAAGGGCUUGUAGGUGGUUUGUCGCGUUGUUCGUGAAAACUCACAGCUUAACUGUGGGCGUGCGGGCGAUACGGGCAGGCUAGAGUUCGGUAGGGGAGACUGGAAUUCCUGGUGUAGCGGUGAAAUGCGCAGAUAUCAGGAGGAACACCGGUGGCGAAGGCGGGUCUCUGGGCCGAUACUGACGCUGAGGAGCGAAAGCGUGGGGAGCGAACAGG
RNAcentral lists this ribosomal RNA (253 nucleotides) under uncultured bacterium. RNAcentral's name for it is "partial 16S ribosomal RNA". It matches the Rfam family "Bacterial small subunit ribosomal RNA", at positions 524 to 776 of the family's 1533-position model. The record is from RNAcentral.